RNAcentral lists this non-coding RNA (104 nucleotides) under Clostridium homopropionicum. RNAcentral's name for it is "TPP sequence". It matches the Rfam family "TPP riboswitch aptamer (THI element)". Rfam says of the family: Vitamin B(1) in its active form thiamin pyrophosphate (TPP) is an essential coenzyme that is synthesised by coupling of pyrimidine and thiazole moieties in bacteria. The previously detected thiamin-regulatory element, thi box was extended, resulting in a new, highly conserved RNA secondary structure, the THI element, which is widely distributed in eubacteria and also occurs in some archaea. RNAcentral also lists the same sequence under 1 other name. Lineage: Bacteria; Bacillati; Bacillota; Clostridia; Eubacteriales; Clostridiaceae. The record is from RNAcentral.
AAUAAAUAUUUCGGGAGCUUGUGUGCAGGCUGAGAGGAAACAAAAGUUUCGACCGUACCUGAUUUGGGUAAUGCCAACGUAGGGAAUAACAUUGAUGAAAAUUU